Molecule: long non-coding RNA, 529 nt
Organism: Xenia sp. Carnegie-2017
Lineage: Eukaryota; Metazoa; Cnidaria; Anthozoa; Malacalcyonacea; Xeniidae
Exons: 2
Source: RefSeq, a predicted model, not a curated record
UUGAUGGCCUUUCAAGAGCAAGACGCACAAGAUUACCUUCUCGAGCAGCUGUCAAUUUAUACGCCGAUAGAGACGACGUUUUCCAUUUAUCAUGACAUAAAUAUUUAAAUCUUUUGAGCACUAGUUAAAGUAUUUAAGCAGGAUAAACAAAGAUAACAGAUCAGUUCGCAGCGAUAUCUUCAAGUUCAAGACGUGAUCUGGUUUUAUUACGAUAAACGCAAGACUUUUAAAAUUCGAAGAUGAAAAACUUUGAAGUCGUAGCAUUUUUAAUGCUAUCACUCCUAGUGCUAUGUUCCGGCAAACCUGGUUGCCCCCCCGGGAUGUGGAUCCGUUGUGACGAAAGCAAGACUAGCCGGGAGUAUCGUCCAAUGAAAAGACUGGGUCUUAGAAAUAUAAACGAAGGAAAACGUGUCAGUAGAGUGAAAGAUGAAGAUGUAAUCGAAAACUUUCAAGGUUAUUAUGCAAACUAUUAAUCAAUGAAAAUAGUGAAAAACACGCACGAAAAUAAAAAUACUGUAAUAUCAAAAUA